Long non-coding RNA from Pieris napi, 381 nucleotides. RefSeq lists it as uncharacterized. The transcript has 2 exons. The record is from RefSeq and is a predicted model, not a curated record. NCBI's taxonomy places the organism in Eukaryota, Metazoa, Arthropoda, Insecta, Lepidoptera, Pieridae.
GUGGGUUGUUUCAAACCAUUUGCUAUCGUUACUUACGUUCGUUAAAAUUUGACAGACUCGUAUGAACUUUAACGUAUGUUAACUUGUUAGCGUUGCUUCAUUGUUAAAAAAUGAGUUCGUCAUUGUUAAUGGGGUUGCCUGUUUGCGUAACGCUAUUUUGACCUAAUGUUUUAUGGGAUUUUUUUUUAGUAAUAACAACAUUGAUAAAAACAAUGUCAUUUGAUACAUUCUGUCAAGUUUGACAUCGAUGUUUAUUGUUUUGUACGAAAGGAUAAUUUUAAAAAGUGUUUAAUUUUAACAUAAAUAAUGGGAACCUUUUCGCCAAAAGAACGUUCGGUAAAUUUUGGAAAAGAAGAGAAGGACAGAUUUAGAAAUUUAAUA